RNAcentral lists this ribosomal RNA (460 nucleotides) under uncultured bacterium. RNAcentral's name for it is "partial 16S ribosomal RNA". It matches the Rfam family "Bacterial small subunit ribosomal RNA", at positions 338 to 795 of the family's 1533-position model. The record is from RNAcentral.
CCUACGGGGGGCUGCAGUGAGGAAUAUUGGUCAAUGGGCGCAAGCCUGAACCAGCCAAGUCGCGUGAGGGAUGACGGUCCUAUGGAUUGUAAACCUCUUUUGUCGGGGAGUAAGGCACGCCACGUGUGGCGGGAAGGAGAGUACCCGAAGAAAAAGCAUCGGCUAACUCCGUGCCAGCAGCCGCGGUAAUACGGAGGAUGCGAGCGUUUUCCGGAUUUAUUGGGUUAAAAGGGUGCGUAGGCGGAAGGUUAAGUCAGCGGUAAAAUGUCGGUGCUCAACACCGGCCUGCCGUUGAAACUGGUCUUCUUGAGUGAGCGAGAAGUAUGCGGAAUGCGUGGUGUAGCGGUGAAAUGCAUAGAUAUCACGCAGAACUCCGAUUGCGAAGGCAGCAUACCGGCGCUCAACUGACGCUGAGGCACGAAAGCGUGGGGAUCGAACAGGAUUAGAUACCCCAGUAGUC